CCUACGGGGGGCUGCAGUGGGGGAUAUUGCACAAUGGGGGGAACCCUGAUGCAGCGACGCCGCGUGGGUGAAGAAGCGCCUCGGCGCGUAAAGCCCUGUCAGCAGGGAAGAAAAUGACGGUACCUGAAGAAGAAGCCCCGGCUAACUACGGGCCAGCAGCCGCGGUAAUACGGAGGGGGCAAGCCGUAUCCGGAUUUACUGGGUGUUAAGGGGGCGCAAUCGGCGCUGCAAGCCCGGAGUGAAAGCCCCGGGGCCAACCCCGGGACUGCCGUUGGAACUGCAUGGCUGGAGUGCGGGAGGGGCAGGCGGAAUUCCUGGUGUAGCGGUGAAAUGCGUAGAUAUCAGGAGGAACACCGGUUGCGAAGGCGGCCUGCUGGACUGCAACUGACGUUGAGGCCCGAAAGCGUGGGGAGCAAACAGGAUUAGAUACCCGGGUAGUC
Molecule: ribosomal RNA, 440 nt
Filed under: uncultured bacterium
Lineage: Bacteria
Description: partial 16S ribosomal RNA
Rfam family: Bacterial small subunit ribosomal RNA
Source: RNAcentral